AUGAUUGUCUUAAAUGCUUUUAGCUCUCUCUUACUUGGUUUUCUCUAACUUCUCUCUAAACCUUUCAACAAAAGAAAUCAGUUCUGGUGACUGGUGGCGUUGCCGCCGGUCACCAACCCCCUUUUAAUUUUUGUUCUUUGUCUGCAGAUAUCUUCGCUCGGCGAAUCUCUUCUUCCGCUUGUCGGAUUAAUAUUUCGCAAGGCGACUUUUAUUAUGUUUCUCGAUCUGUUUCAGCGCUUUGCUUCAAGUUCUUCUUUUAUCUCUGAUUUCCAGAUCGAUUAAUAAAAAUAGGGUUUGUAACUUGCUUUCCGCUUCGUUCUCAACUUCAUCCCGUUUGGUUACUGGGGCAAGAUCCUCAUUUAUCGCUCAGUCAAGAUUUCUUACCUUGAGAAUCAGCCUUCGUUUAUUAUUAUAGUCGUCUAUGCCUGUUACGAAGCAUCUCUAAUGGAAGAAUGAUGAGUUUUAUAGGAUGCCUUGAAUCUUGUAUGAAGUGAUUCAGCAGCACCGGCGUUUUCCGAAACGGUCCGACAAAGAAUCUUCUUUCAUCUUGAUUUAAGUAUCCUCCGGUAUAACUACGGUGAAUCAGGUUCUUUUUACUCAAGUACCCGCGGAUUAAAGUGGAAGGCGUUUCAUAUUUGGUAUCGGAACUCCCAAAUCGGAGAAUUGUUUUUAACUUUAUGGUGGAGCUAUACAGCGGAGAGAUAGAGUUGAAGAGGCGUUUUUGAGAAGCUGGUGGUGGCGUAGUUUGGCGGUGCGGCCAAGAGUACCGUUCAACACUCACGAGACACGUGUCCCAGAGACGUGGUUUUGAGUCGAUCGAUUCGUCAACGCGUGGCAAAGCUUUUGGAUGUUUCUUUAUUUGGGCUUUUAAUAUCUAGCGGGCUACUCUGUUGAUGUAUAUUAUAAAUUGAUACCAAAUGUAAUGCCCAAUGGGCUUAAUCAAUGAACUUAAGUUGACAAAAUAAAAAAAAGUCUUAAAUGCUUUUAGGA
Molecule: long non-coding RNA, 990 nt
Filed under: Brassica napus (rape)
Lineage: Eukaryota; Viridiplantae; Streptophyta; Magnoliopsida; Brassicales; Brassicaceae
Description: long non-coding RNA (BNAP_LNC012655)
Source: RNAcentral